Molecule: transfer RNA, 88 nt
Filed under: Thermofilum pendens
Lineage: Archaea; Thermoproteati; Thermoproteota; Thermoprotei; Thermofilales; Thermofilaceae
Description: tRNA-Ala
Rfam family: tRNA
About the family: Transfer RNA (tRNA) molecules are approximately 80 nucleotides in length.
Source: RNAcentral
GCGGGGGUGCCCGAGCCAGGUUAAAGGGGGCGGACACGCGAUCCGCUGGCGCUGGCCUUCCCGGGUUCAAAUCCCGGCCCCCGCACCA